UGCCAGCCGCCGCGGUAAUACGGAAGGCCCGAGCGUUAAUCGGAAUCACUGGGCUUAAAGCGUGCGCAGGCGGACCCGUAGGCAUCUCGUGAAAUCCCACAGCUCAACUGUGGAACUGCGGGGUGAACCACGGGUCUUGAGACAAGUAGGGGCUGAUGGAACCAUGGGUGGAGCGGUGAAAUGCGUAGAUAUCCAUGGGAACGCCAAUGGCGAAGGCAGUCAGCUGGGCUUGUUCUGACGCUCAGGCACGAAAGCGUGGGGAGCGAACGGGAUUAGAUA
RNAcentral lists this ribosomal RNA (279 nucleotides) under uncultured bacterium. RNAcentral's name for it is "partial 16S ribosomal RNA". It matches the Rfam family "Bacterial small subunit ribosomal RNA", at positions 506 to 784 of the family's 1533-position model. The record is from RNAcentral.